Molecule: non-coding RNA, 568 nt
Filed under: unclassified sequences
Source: RNAcentral
CCUGUCCUCUGAAUUUAUUGAAAGAUGUAACUCCACUUUGACAAGGUGGCAUCUAUAUUAACUCAGUUAGUCUCUUGAUUGUUUGUUAGGGAUACCUCUCAAAUUAUCAGUCCAAAGUGGCAGUUUUGAAACACAAACCUGAGCAGAGUUAGUAUGCUGAACAAUAUGAAUAGUAAAGCAACAGACGUAUCGUCUCAAUAAGUUCUGUAUCUGAAACUGGUACAGGCGGUGUAGUAAAUGGAUGUGACAACUCCAGAACCAAAGCACUAUGUCAACUAAUGAGAUAGCCGUGAUGUUCAGGUGACUGAACUAUAAGAUAUUUCUGUUCCAAUCCUUAAGGCUAGUUUAAAGUUAUCUCAGUAAAAGAUGAUAUUAAAUAUGGUGUGUUGGGGAUUGGGUGGGUGUGUUGUCCAUUCCCUUACCUUGUUAAGUUUUACUUGACUUGCUUUAGUAGAAAGGCAAAAACAACCAGUCGGUACAACUGGAGCACUGUUUUGUCAGUAAGUGGCUGAAUACUUGCAAUAUUAAGUUUGGUAGAAGUAAUGUUCCAAUAAUUAAUCACUGUUAG